ACGGGGGGGGUAAGCGUUGUUCGGAAUUACUGGGCGUAAAGGGCUCGUAGGCGGCCAACUAAGUCAGACGUGAAAUCCCUCAGCUUAACUGGGGAACUGCGUCUGAUACUGGAUGGCUUGGAUUUGGGAGAGGAAUGCGGAAUUCCAGGUGUAGCGGUGAAAUGCGUAGAUAUCUGGAGGAACACCGGUGGCGAAGGCGGCCUGCUGGGCAGUAGCUGACGCUGAGGCGCGACAGCGUGGGGAGCAAACAGGA
Molecule: ribosomal RNA, 253 nt
Filed under: uncultured prokaryote
Description: partial 16S ribosomal RNA
Rfam family: Bacterial small subunit ribosomal RNA
Source: RNAcentral